This is a long non-coding RNA of Mesoplodon densirostris (Blainville's beaked whale), 694 nucleotides long. RefSeq lists it as uncharacterized. The record is from RefSeq and is a predicted model, not a curated record. NCBI's taxonomy places the organism in Eukaryota, Metazoa, Chordata, Mammalia, Artiodactyla, Ziphiidae. The transcript is spliced from 4 exons.
GACUACCUUUUCUCCGGAUGUUCGGUUUUGUUUCCUCCUUCAGCCUAUUUCUUGGACCCUUUUGAGAGACUCCCUUCCUCCUUUGCCCCCUUUUCGGGCCACAUCAGGCGGGAGGCUUCCAGAAAGUCGACAAGUCAUCUUUAGGUGCAGGGGAGUCAGACUUCAGGAAGACCAACUCAAAUAUUUGGCAUUUAAAGGAAUUUCAAGUUUUUAAAAGAAAGGUCUUUGAAUUCUACAGGAGACAUUUGGGAAAACUUUUCACUUAUGAAUUUUCCUUGUUCCACUGGUCCAGCUUGCAGAAUUUGCCUGCUUGGGCUUGGGAGAAGGCAAGGAGAAGCCAGAGUGCUGGGAACGUCCAGGGUUAUGAGUGCUGAAGAUAAUUCAGCAUUUCUCCAACUGCUCUUUCUCAAAACAUUCUACUGACAGAUGUUAACAGGAUGAAAACGUCCUUUGGUCAAAGAAGUUUGGGAGAACUGCUAUAUUCUCUAAUCCCUUCUUAAUACGUACAUAAACAUAUUUGAAGUUCUGAGGGUCUCACAUUUGAAAACCCAGUUAAAUUUAGUGUAGUCAACUUUUUAAAGCUUAUUUGCAUCUAGAAUGACCUGUGUGUAUGUGUGUGUUGCACCUGCUAAGGUCUCAUAGUUUGGUUUAUGAUGGAUCAGAUACUCAUUCACCUUACCACUACAUAAAAUAA